UAGUAGUUAUAUUCUUGAAAAUUAAAAAAGAUGGCGGUAUUUUAGUCUAUUCAGAGGAACCUGUCCUGUAAUUGAUGGUCCACGAUUUAUUUUACUUAUUUAAAAAGUUUACAUAUCGCCGUAGGUUGAAUAUUUUUUAAGAAUUUGUAAUGUUCAAGAUGUUUUUAAAGUGAAAAAAAAUCAGGUCAAGAUGUAGCUUAUAUAUAAGUAGAGAUGGGUUACAAUAAAUUUAUUUAUUAUGAAUUAAUUAAUGAAAUUUGUUAUGAAGGUGGAUUUGAGGGUAAU
This 285-nucleotide ribosomal RNA is filed under the name Naupactus cervinus. RNAcentral describes it as "Asynonychus cervinus partial 12S ribosomal RNA". The record is from RNAcentral. Lineage: Eukaryota; Metazoa; Arthropoda; Insecta; Coleoptera; Curculionidae.